UACAGAGGUCUCAAGCGUUGUUCGGAUUCAUUGGGCGUAAAGAGCUCGUAGGCGGUUUGGCAAGUCGGGUGUGAAAACUCCGGGCUCAACUCGGAGACGCCACUCGAUACUGCCAUGACUCGAGUCCGGUAGGGGAGUGGCGGAAUUCCUGGUGUAGCGGUGAAAUGCGCAGAUAUCAGGAGGAACACCGGUGGCGAAGGCGGCACUCUGGGCCGGUACUGACGCUGAGGAGCGAAAGCGUGGGGAGCGAACAGG
RNAcentral lists this ribosomal RNA (255 nucleotides) under uncultured bacterium. RNAcentral describes it as "partial 16S ribosomal RNA". It matches the Rfam family "Bacterial small subunit ribosomal RNA", at positions 524 to 776 of the family's 1533-position model. The record is from RNAcentral.